RNAcentral lists this ribosomal RNA (490 nucleotides) under uncultured bacterium. RNAcentral describes it as "partial 16S ribosomal RNA". It matches the Rfam family "Bacterial small subunit ribosomal RNA", at positions 30 to 507 of the family's 1533-position model. The record is from RNAcentral.
AUUGAACGCUGGCGGCAGGCCUAACACAUGCAAGUCGAACGGUAACAGAAAGCAGCUUGCUGCUUUGCUGACGAGUGGCGGACGGGUGAGUAAUGUCUGGGAAACUGCCUGAUGGAGGGGGAUAACUACUGGAAACGGUAGCUAAUACCGCAUAACGUCGCAAGACCAAAGAGGGGGACCUUCGGGCCUCUUGCCAUCGGCUGUGCCCAGAUGGGAUUAGCUAGUAGGUGGGGUAACGGCUCACCUAGGCGACGAUCCCUAGCUGGUCUGAGAGGAUGACCAGCCACACUGUAACUGAGACACGGUCCAGACUCCUACGGGAGGCAGCAGUGGGGAAUAUUGCACAAUGGGCGCAAGCCUGAUGCAGCCAUGCCGCGUGUAUGAAGAAGGCCUUCGGGUUGUAAAGUACUUUCAGCGGGGAGGAAGGGAGUAAAGUUAAUACCUUGGCUCAUUGACGUUACCCGCAGAAGAAGCACCGGCUAACUCCGUG